This 73-nucleotide transfer RNA is filed under the name Rhipicephalus microplus (southern cattle tick). RNAcentral describes it as "tRNA-Val". It matches the Rfam family "tRNA". Rfam says of the family: Transfer RNA (tRNA) molecules are approximately 80 nucleotides in length. Their secondary structure includes four short double-helical elements and three loops (D, anti-codon, and T loops). Further hydrogen bonds mediate the characteristic L-shaped molecular structure. tRNAs have two regions of fundamental functional importance: the anti-codon, which is responsible for specific mRNA codon recognition, and the 3' end, to which the tRNAs corresponding amino acid is attached (by aminoacyl-tRNA synthetases). tRNAs cope with the degeneracy of the genetic code in two manners: having more than one tRNA (with a specific anti-codon) for a particular amino acid; and 'wobble' base-pairing, i.e. permitting non-standard base-pairing at the 3rd anti-codon position. The record is from Rfam by way of RNAcentral. Lineage: Eukaryota; Metazoa; Arthropoda; Arachnida; Ixodida; Ixodidae.
GGUUCCGUAGUGUAGUGGUUAUCACGUUCGCUUUACACGCGAAAGGUCUCCGGUUCGACCCCGGACGGAACCA